AGUUAGUGGCGGACGGGUGAGUAACGCGUGGGUAACCUGCCUCAUACAGGGGAAUAGCAGCUGGAAACGGCUGAUAAAACCGCAUAAGCGCACAGCGCCGCAUGGCACAGUGUGAAAAACUCCGGUGGUAUGAGAUGGACCCGCGUCUGAUUAGCUGGUUGGUGGGGUAACGGCCCACCAAGGCGACGAUCAGUAGCCGGCCUGAGAGGGUGAUCGGCCACAUUGGGACUGAGAUACGGCCCAAACUCCUACGGGAGGCAGCAGUGGGGAAUAUUGCACAAUGGGGGAAACCCUGAUGCAGCGACGCCGCGUGAAGGAAGAAGUAUCUCGGUAUGUAAACUUCUAUCAGCAGGGAAGAUAAUGACGGUACCUGACUAAGAAGCCCCGGCUAACUACGUGCCAGCAGCCGCGGUAAUACGUAGGGGGCAAGCGUUAUCCGGAUUUACUGGGUGUAAAGGGAGCGUAGGCGGCGGAGCAAGUCAGAAGUGAAAGCCCGGGGCUCAACCCCGGGACGGCUUUUGAAACUGCCCUGCUUGAUUUCAGGAGAGGUAAGCGGAAUUCCUAGUGUAGCGGUGAAAUGCGUAGAUAUUAGGAGGAACACCAGUGGCGAAGGCGGCUUACUGGAC
This 626-nucleotide ribosomal RNA is filed under the name uncultured Lachnospiraceae bacterium. RNAcentral's name for it is "bacterial SSU rRNA". It matches the Rfam family "Bacterial small subunit ribosomal RNA", at positions 90 to 734 of the family's 1533-position model. Lineage: Bacteria; Bacillati; Bacillota; Clostridia; Lachnospirales; Lachnospiraceae. The record is from RNAcentral.